UACGGAGGGUGCGAGCGUUGUCCGGAAUCACUGGGCGUAAAGGGCGCGUAGGUGGCUUGGUAAGCGUGUGGUGAAAGCCUGGGGCUCAACCCCGGGUCGGCCAUGCGAACUGCCGAGCUUGAGCACUGUAGAGGCAGACGGAAUUCCGGGUGUAGCGGUGGAAUGCGUAGAGAUCCGGAAGAACACCGGUGGCGAAGGCGGUCUGCUGGGCAGUUGCUGACACUGAGGCGCGACAGCGUGGGGAGCAAACAGG
This 253-nucleotide ribosomal RNA is filed under the name uncultured Gemmatimonas sp. Its description in RNAcentral is "partial 16S ribosomal RNA". It matches the Rfam family "Bacterial small subunit ribosomal RNA", at positions 524 to 776 of the family's 1533-position model. The record is from RNAcentral. Lineage: Bacteria; Pseudomonadati; Gemmatimonadota; Gemmatimonadia; Gemmatimonadales; Gemmatimonadaceae.